Molecule: unclassified non-coding RNA, 256 nt
Filed under: Hevea brasiliensis (rubber tree)
Lineage: Eukaryota; Viridiplantae; Streptophyta; Magnoliopsida; Malpighiales; Euphorbiaceae
Source: RNAcentral
CAAAGAAAUGAGACUGUUAUCAUCAACUCUUUAUCUAUAGUAUUGACAUUUCAAAUGGUGGAAUCACUUUCUCCCUGUUAGCUGGGUGAGGCUUGCAAAAUCAGUUUAGUGCCGGGAACGCACUUGGCCUUGGAAUGUGAGGGUAAAGCAUGCUUGUGAAGCCAUGUGCAUACUUUUGGGCUUGUAGCAGGAUUUAUUCUCCCCAAGCAUACCGGCUUAUUGCAUACUAACGGUUCCAUUUGCUGUCUGGUGGGGC